UUCCACCAGCAGCCUGGCUUGGCACUGCCAGGACAGCGCAUGGGGGAUAAAGCAUCCUGAACCUUGGUGUGCUGUUACCACGGCAACGGGGCAUUCCAGACUCUCCAGGCAACCUCACUGACAUCUGCUGUGAGAGAUUCAGAUGGAGAAGGGCCACCGCUCUUUCUCCAGUAGAGACAGAGCAAAUUGUGAAGACAGGGAGCCGUGUGCCGAGGACCAGAUCUUAAAGGAAAAUGCUGUUCCAUUGGAGGGACGUGUUACUCUUGGGGCUGGAACGAGCACGGCAUGUGCGGGGAUGGCUCCGAAGCCAACAUCUGGGCCCCGAAGCCUGUGCAGGCCCUGCGGUCAUCACUGGGACUCCUUGUGGGCUGUGGGGCUGGCCACUCCCUAGCCCUCUGCCAGUUGCCGGCCCUCCCUCAGUUGGUCACUGGCUCUUCCCUGGAUGCCCCUGAGGACGCUGAAUCUCAGGAAGCCAGGGACAAAGAGAGAAACUGGAAGGAAAGGCAACCGGACACCUCUACUCAGAGCCAGCCCGGCAGGUCCAGAAAUGGGGGGCUUGUGACAGAGGCCCUUAAAUAAAGUGACUUUUCCCACCCAA
Molecule: non-coding RNA, 598 nt
Organism: Leptonychotes weddellii (Weddell seal)
Lineage: Eukaryota; Metazoa; Chordata; Mammalia; Carnivora; Phocidae
Source: RefSeq, a predicted model, not a curated record